CCAAUAUAGUUAUCCGUUGAGGUUACUCGUGGCUCUGUCCAAGUGGUAUAUGGGAGCGUAGCCCUAACUGCAAUGAUGUACAAUCCCCUUCCACAGUGUUGAAGAUCAAGCCUGUCUUUGAUUCUAGAGCUGAUGAGAGCAGCAUCCUUUAUAUUCCUAUAACUUCUCCGUCUCUAGACAAUUACUGAGGAGAAACCUUGCAGGGCGCAACU
RNAcentral lists this small nucleolar RNA (212 nucleotides) under Macrochelys temminckii (alligator snapping turtle). Its description in RNAcentral is "Small nucleolar RNA SNORA73 family". It matches the Rfam family "Small nucleolar RNA SNORA73 family". From Rfam's summary of the family: U17 (SNORA73A and SNORA73B) also known as E1 belongs to the H/ACA class of small nucleolar RNAs (snoRNAs). Vertebrate U17 is intron-encoded and ranges in length from 200-230 nucleotides, longer than most snoRNAs. The record is from Rfam by way of RNAcentral. Lineage: Eukaryota; Metazoa; Chordata; Testudines; Chelydridae.